GCUCGUAGGUGGUUUGUCGCGUUGUUCGUGAAAUCUCACGGCUUAACUGUGAGCGUGCGGGCGAUACGGGCAGACUAGAGUACUGCAGGGGAGAUUGGAAUCCCUGGUGUAGCGGUGGAAUGCGCAGAUAUCAGGAGGAACACCGGUGGCGAAGGCGGGUCUCUGGGCAGUAACUGACGCUGAGGAGCGAAAGCGUGGGGAGCGAACAGGAUUAGAUACCCUGGUAGUCCACGCCGUAAACGGUGGGUACUAGGUGUGGUUUCCUUCCUUGGGAUCCGUGCCGUAGCUAACGCAUUAAGUACCCCGCCUGGGGAGUACGGCCGCAAGGCUAAAACUCAAAGGAAUUGACGGGGGCCCGCACAAGCGGCGGAGCAUGUGGAUUAAUUCGAUGCAACGCGAAGAGCCUUACCUGGGUUUGACAUGCACAGGACGCGUCUAGAGAUAGGCGUUCCCUUGUGGCCUGUGUGCAGGUGGUGCAUGGCUGUCGUCAGCUCGUGUCGUGAGAUGUUGGGUUAAGUCCCGCAACGAGCGCAACCCUUGUCUCAUGUUGCCAGCGGGUAAUGCCGGGGACUCGUGAGAGACUGCCGGGGUCAACUCGGAGGAAGGUGGGGAUGACGUCAAGUCAUCAUGCCCCUUGUGACCAGGGCUUCACACAUGCUACAAUGGCCGGUACAAAGGGCUGCGAUGCCGUAAGGUUAAGCGAAUCCUUUUAAAGCCGGUCUCAGUUCGGAUUGGGGUCUGCAACUCGACCCCAUGAAGUCGGAGUCGC
This 769-nucleotide ribosomal RNA is filed under the name uncultured bacterium. RNAcentral describes it as "bacterial SSU rRNA". It matches the Rfam family "Bacterial small subunit ribosomal RNA", at positions 567 to 1335 of the family's 1533-position model. The record is from RNAcentral.